CUUGAGUCACUUAUGACUACACUUUCGAGGCUCACAACUUCUUUGUUCGACAUUUGAGGAUUCUAUUAACAUGACUAAGUAAAGGGCAUGGGUCGGAUACCAUGUUAGAAAUCACGAUUUUCCACAAUUAUAUGAUAUUGUCCACUUUGUGCAUAAACUCUCAUGGUUUUCCUUUUGGUUUCCCAAAAAGGCCUCAUACUAAUGAAAAUAGUGUUCCUUACUUAUAAACCCAUAAUUUUCCUCUUAAUUAGCUAAUGUGGGACUACUCCUUUCAAUAAUCCUCCCCACUCAAUUCUUUUGAACUUGUACCUGCUCCCAAAACUUUUUGUGGUUUUUGUCUGGCUUACAAAUGAUUCAAAAAACAAAGUUUUUUGUGGUUUUGUCUGGCUUAUAAAUGAUUCAAAAAGACGAAAAGGAGAAAUCAGCGCUGGCAGAAGAGGGUAUUUGCCUGUCCAAACUUGGAUGGCUGCUCGAUUUACCCUGUGCUCAUGGCCACUCGAUUGUAUGAGAGAUCACAAGGUCGCUGAUAGAUUGGUUCACAUUUCCCUUUCUUUUGAAGGCUCCUUGUCACUUGGCAGGUCUCCAAUGGGAAGAGCAGAGCUUUCAACGGAGUUUGUUGAGCAGUGGGGAGGGGCUCUCGAAUGAGAGAGGAAGUGGAGAGGAAGCAAAUGGCCAUGGAAGAAGAUGUCAUCUGCUGGAGACAAAUCAAUGGUGAAGGAAGAUGGGGUUUUGGUUUUGUCUGUUUGGAGUGAAACUGAGAAGGAAAAUUCAUGAGAAGGCGAUGAAGAUGCUGAAGAAGGAGAUGAGGAAGCUGGACUUUGUUCUUCAAGGUUGACUCGGAGACCUGCGACCUUGGCUUUACAACGAAUGAAGGGGAGCUCAAAGAGAUUUCUCCCAAAGUAGCUUAUGUAGUGGUCGAACGGCAGAAAGCUCGCUAGGUUUCGCUUCCCUCCCUUUCCUUUUUCAAUGAAGUGGAAAGUUUAAACUUAGUAGUCGGCAUUCUACAAGUGACUUGUCGAGUCUACGAAAGAUUCAAGUACCAAAUUUCUCCUUAGAAUUAAUUCUAAGAUAUUAAAUUUCUUAAUUAAUCUCUAAAUAAACUAUGGCCAUUGUCACCCUCACAACUAACAUAAAAAUAAUUAAAUUUGUAUAUUCUUUUGAUUUGGUUGAUUAAUGUCUACACAAAGGUUGGGUUUGGUAA
Cucurbita pepo subsp. pepo (vegetable marrow) is the source of this 1201-nucleotide non-coding RNA. Lineage: Eukaryota; Viridiplantae; Streptophyta; Magnoliopsida; Cucurbitales; Cucurbitaceae. The record is from RefSeq and is a predicted model, not a curated record.